This 422-nucleotide ribosomal RNA is filed under the name uncultured bacterium. Its description in RNAcentral is "partial 16S ribosomal RNA". It matches the Rfam family "Bacterial small subunit ribosomal RNA", at positions 360 to 774 of the family's 1533-position model. The record is from RNAcentral.
AAUUUUGGCCAAUGGGGGAAACCUGAAUCCACCCAUCCCGCUGGUAGGAUGAGGGCCUCCGGGUGGUAAGGUACUUUUGGCGGAGAAGAAAAGGUAUCCCCUAAUACGAGACACUGCGGCCGGUACCGGCACAAUACGCACCGCUCACCUACUUGCCAGCAGCCGCGGUAAUAGGUAGGGUGAAAGCGUUAAUCGGAAUGAUUGGGCGUAAGGCGUGUGUAGGCGGUUCGGAAAGAAAGAUGUGAAAUCCCAGGGCUCAACCUUGGAACUGCAUUUUUAACUGCCGAGCUGGAGUAGGUCAGAGGGGGGUAGAAUUCCACGUGUAGCAGUGAAAUGCGUAGAUAUGUGGAGGAAUACCGAUGGCGAAGGCAGCCCCCUGGGAUAAUACUGACGCUCAGACACGAAAGCGUGGGGAGCAAACA